AGAGUGUGCCAACAGCUUAGAUAUAGAGUGUGAGAGAGAAGAGUGGAGGCUGGUUCUCAGGCUCCAGAAGCAUAAGCCUGCAUGGAGCAUAGCGUCACUGAGCAAGACAGGUGUGGAGGAUGAGAAGCGGGCCACAGGAUGGGAAGGGAAUCUGUGUGGAGGCGGUGCCCUAAACAUGCUGCCUUGAGGAGGGACCUCUACAUGGGGUGGCCGGGCACAGCCAGGCUACCCAUGGGGACCUCAACAGCUUUGCCAUUGCACACUAUCUUUGCAGACAAGAUCUUAAUCACAUCCAACUUUCUGCAGUUGCACAGGGUACCUCAGACCCACAUCCCAGAUGACAUUCCUCAGAAGCUCGCAGCUGGAGAUGACAUCACCUUAGACAACAUCACCCUAGCCCAAGACAUCGCUAUUAGAGAUACAUCACCUGGACACUAAAGCCUCCAACCCAGUGACACUCUCAAGGUGCUGACAAAAUGGACAUGGACAUUUGUUGCUUUUCUUCUUUUGAAUUAGGAACUCUAUUGUGUUUCCUGAAUUUACUGUCUGCUUGGCCCAUGAUCCUGGUAUGUUCCUUGCUCUCUGCCAAAACAUGCACCGUCCCCUCCACACCUAAAGGAAAACCUGGUAGAAGCUACUACUCUCAAUGCCAUUCUAAAAUUGACGAAGAGUAUUAUUUUCCCCAAGAGGCAGCUGCUGCAGGCCAGUGAAUCCUCUGGACCCUGGGGAGAGGGUCAUACACUCCCUAGUGACUUCUACUGUAUGCUCCAGCUUUCCACCAGGACCUCCUGCCCUGUCCCCAACUGUAACGACCACAACCACCCCAUCCCCUUGGUUACACACAAAUAUCACCAGUCUUUACAUGUACUUUACUGACUUCUCAGAUAAUACCCUCCAACAAGAUAACUGCAGGACUUGCCACCAUGACCUGAGAAAUACACCAAGAUAUUAUUGUCCAAUUUUUUUGAGAUAUAUAUAUAUUUCUCAUACUUUUAACAUACUCUGCAAUCCACCAAGAUAUUGGUAGAGACCCUGGAAAUUUCAAAUCUAUUUCGUCUGCUAAUGCCAUGUGAAUGGGAAACUUAGAUACAGGCUGGCCUACAAGGACUCCUUAUACUUCAAUUUUUGUUCCUCCUUUCAACUCUCAUAAAAAAUAUUUUCUGUACUAUUUAGGGCAAAUGAUGGCCUUCUUUCUAAGUCUCAUCCAUCAUUGCUGCAAAGGUGCCUUAGUUUGAUGUUAAAGUGUCACAGGGCCAAUGUAUUGACCAUGUUUCUGGCGUCUAUAAAGUCGAUGUUUUAAUAUCUGUC
This 1308-nucleotide long non-coding RNA is filed under the name Homo sapiens (human). RNAcentral's name for it is "non-protein coding lnc-PPP1R3G-9:7". Lineage: Eukaryota; Metazoa; Chordata; Mammalia; Primates; Hominidae. The record is from RNAcentral.